Alnus glutinosa is the source of this 375-nucleotide long non-coding RNA. RefSeq lists it as uncharacterized. The record is from RefSeq and is a predicted model, not a curated record. Lineage: Eukaryota; Viridiplantae; Streptophyta; Magnoliopsida; Fagales; Betulaceae. The transcript is spliced from 3 exons.
CUUUUAGUAUUGGUGGACGUGUGAUUGAUCAGUAUAGGAGUUCACUCAAGCAUGAUAUUGUUGAGGCAUUGGUUUGCACUAGAAAUUGGUUAUAUGGAGAGCAAGAACAAACUUCAAUGAAGGUGGAUAACGAAGAAGAUGAUGUUUUGACAUUGGAUAGUAGCGGUUCCUGUAUUGGAGUUGAAUGACAAAGAUGGGCAUGUCAAACUAACCUGCUUUGGACCCAAUCUGAUGGACAAUGAGCAUAUGUAGGUCAUUCAAGAAAUCAAGACUCAAGAGUGGACAAUUAUGAUGCAGUUUUUUGUAUUUGUAAAUUUGUAAUGAUGAUGUAGUGUUUUUUUUUUUGUUAUUUGAUUAGACAAUUAAACAUAUUAA